CAGCACCUCAAGUGGUCAGGAUGAUUAUUGGGCCUAAAGCAUCCGUAGCCGGCGCUGUAAGUUUUCGGUUAAAUCUGUACGUUCAACGUACAGGCUGCCGGGAAUACUGCAGCGCUAGGGAGUGGGAGAGGUAGACGGUACUCGGUAGGAAGGGGUAAAAUCCUUUGAUCUAUUGAUGACCACCUGUGGCGAAGGCGGUCUACCAGAACACGUCCGACGGUGAGGGAUGAAAGCUGGGGGAGCAAACCGGAUUAGAUACCCGAGUAGUCC
This 270-nucleotide ribosomal RNA is filed under the name uncultured archaeon. RNAcentral describes it as "partial 16S ribosomal RNA". It matches the Rfam family "Archaeal small subunit ribosomal RNA", at positions 477 to 747 of the family's 1478-position model. The record is from RNAcentral.